This is a non-coding RNA of Piedraia hortae CBS 480.64, 97 nucleotides long. NCBI's taxonomy places the organism in Eukaryota, Fungi, Ascomycota, Dothideomycetes, Capnodiales, Piedraiaceae. The record is from the annotation of a GenBank genome assembly.
GGUCGGUUAGCUCAGUUGGUUAGAGCGUGGUGCUAAUAGAAUUCCAACCAAGAUUCUUGCAACGCCAAGGUCGUGGGUUCGACCCCCAUACUGACCA